ACUUGAAUUGAAGAGUUUGAUCAUGGCUCAGAUUGAACGCUGGCGGCAGGCUUAACACAUGCAAGUCGAACGGUAGCAGGAGAAAGCUUGCUUUCUUGCUGACGAGUGGCGGACGGGUGAGUAAUGCUUGGGAAUCUGGCUUAUGGAGGGGGAUAACGACGGGAAACUGUCGCUAAUACCGCGUAGAAUCGGAAGAUGAAAGUGCGGGACUGUAAGGCCGCAUGCCAUAGGAU
Molecule: ribosomal RNA, 233 nt
Filed under: Haemophilus influenzae
Lineage: Bacteria; Pseudomonadati; Pseudomonadota; Gammaproteobacteria; Pasteurellales; Pasteurellaceae
Description: partial 16S ribosomal RNA
Rfam family: Bacterial small subunit ribosomal RNA
Source: RNAcentral